UACGGAGGAUCCGAGCGUUAUCCGGAUUUAUUGGGUUUAAAGGGUGCGUAGGCGGUCCGUUAAGUCAGCGGUAAAAUUGCGGGGCUCAACCCCGUCGAGCCGUUGAAACUGGCGUUCUUGAGUGAGCGAGAAGUAUGCGGAAUGCGUGGUGUAGCGGUGAAAUGCAUAGAUAUCACGCAGAACUCCGAUUGCGAAGGCAGCAUACCGGCGCUCAACUGACGCUCAUACACGAAAGCGUGGGGAGCAAACAGG
This 252-nucleotide ribosomal RNA is filed under the name uncultured Bacteroidales bacterium. Its description in RNAcentral is "partial 16S ribosomal RNA". It matches the Rfam family "Bacterial small subunit ribosomal RNA", at positions 524 to 776 of the family's 1533-position model. Lineage: Bacteria; Pseudomonadati; Bacteroidota; Bacteroidia; Bacteroidales. The record is from RNAcentral.